This 78-nucleotide transfer RNA is filed under the name Mixta calida. RNAcentral's name for it is "tRNA-Asp". It matches the Rfam family "tRNA". From Rfam's summary of the family: Transfer RNA (tRNA) molecules are approximately 80 nucleotides in length. Their secondary structure includes four short double-helical elements and three loops (D, anti-codon, and T loops). The record is from RNAcentral. Lineage: Bacteria; Pseudomonadati; Pseudomonadota; Gammaproteobacteria; Enterobacterales; Erwiniaceae.
GCGCGGUGCGGUAGUUCAGUCGGUUAGAAUACCGGCCUGUCACGCCGGGGGUCGCGGGUUCGAGUCCCGCCACCGGCG